GAACUACGAGGAUUUGAUCCUAAUCUUUUUAUAAGAUGGUACGUAGGCAAUGGGUUUAUCCAUCCAAACACAAAAUGUAAAUAACUUGUACAUUCUCUUCUCAUCUCUUCAAUCAUGUUUGCACAAAUAAAAUUUUCACAGGUACGUAGGCAAUGGGUUUAUCCAUCCAAACACAAAAUGUAAAUAACUUGUACAUUCUCUUCUCAUCUCUUCAAUCAUGUUUGCACAAAUAAAAUUUUCACAAGACAACAAC
RNAcentral lists this long non-coding RNA (253 nucleotides) under Lathyrus oleraceus (garden pea). RNAcentral describes it as "Pisum sativum (pea) long non-coding RNA (PSAT_LNC000639)". Lineage: Eukaryota; Viridiplantae; Streptophyta; Magnoliopsida; Fabales; Fabaceae. The record is from RNAcentral.